CAAUGGCGUAUAUUAAAGUUGUUGCAGUUAAAAAGCUCGUAGUUGGACCUUGGACCUGGACAGGCGGUCCGCCUCACGGCGUGUACUGUCUUGCUGGGUCUUUCCUCUUGGUGAUCUGUUGUUUCGGCAGCAGGGAACCAGGACUUUUACUUUGAAAAAAUUAGAGUGUUCAAAGCAGGCUCGACGCCGGAAUAUAUUAGCAUGGAAUAAUAAAAUAGGACGUGCGGUUCUAUUUUGUUGGUUUUUGGAAUCGCCGUAAUGAUUAAUAGGGACAGUCGGGGGCAUUAGUACUCACAUGCUAGAGGUGAAAUUCUUGGAUUUUGUGAAGACUAACUUCUGCGAAAGCAUUUGCCAAGGAUGUUUUCAUUAA
RNAcentral lists this ribosomal RNA (370 nucleotides) under uncultured eukaryote. Its description in RNAcentral is "partial 18S ribosomal RNA". It matches the Rfam family "Eukaryotic small subunit ribosomal RNA", at positions 592 to 976 of the family's 1831-position model. The record is from RNAcentral.